RNAcentral lists this ribosomal RNA (253 nucleotides) under uncultured bacterium. RNAcentral's name for it is "partial 16S ribosomal RNA". It matches the Rfam family "Bacterial small subunit ribosomal RNA", at positions 524 to 776 of the family's 1533-position model. The record is from RNAcentral.
UACGUAGGGCGCAAGCGUUGUCCGGAAUUAUUGGGCGUAAAGAGCUCGUAGGCGGCUUGUUGCGUCGACCGUGAAAACCCGGGGCUCAACUUCGGGCUUGCGGUCGAUACGGGCGGGCUAGAGUUCGGUAGGGGAGACUGGAAUUCCUGGUGUAGCGGUGAAAUGCGCAGAUAUCAGGAGGAACACCGGUGGCGAAGGCGGCGCUCUGGACCGAGACUGACGCUGAGGCGCGAAAGCGUGGGGAGCAAACAGG